Molecule: ribosomal RNA, 207 nt
Filed under: uncultured bacterium
Lineage: Bacteria
Description: partial 16S ribosomal RNA
Rfam family: Bacterial small subunit ribosomal RNA
Source: RNAcentral
CAUGUAGGCUGCUUGUUAAGUCUGAUGUGAAAGCCCCGGGCUCAACCUGGGAAGUGCAUUGGAUACUGGCAAGCUUGAGUAUGGGAGAGGAAAGUGGAAUUCCGAGUGUAGGGGUGAAAUCCGUAGAUAUUCGGAGGAACACCAGUGGCGAAGGCGGCUUUCUGGACCAAUACUGACGCUGAUAUGCGAAAGCGCGGGGAGCAAACA